UGCAAACUGUACAACGUACCCUAGAUGGA
Molecule: small RNA, 29 nt
Filed under: Bombyx mori (domestic silkworm)
Lineage: Eukaryota; Metazoa; Arthropoda; Insecta; Lepidoptera; Bombycidae
Description: ovarian small RNA-3727
Source: RNAcentral